GACGAACGCUGGCGGCGUGCUUAACACAUGCAAGUCGAACGGAAAGGCCCUGCUUUUGUGGGGUGCUCGAGUGGCGAACGGGUGAGUAACACGUGAGUAACCUGCCCUUGACUUUGGGAUAACUUCAGGAAACUGGGGCUAAUACCGGAUAGGAGCUCCUGCUGCAUGGUGGGGGUUGGAAAGUUUCGGCGGUUGGGGAUGGACUCGCGGCUUAUCAGCUUGUUGGUGGGGUAGUGGCUUACCAAGGCUUUGACGGGUAGCCGGCCUGAGAGGGUGACCGGCCACAUUGGGACUGAGAUACGGCCCAGACGCCUACGUUGGGCAGCAGUGGGAAAUAUUGCACAAUGGUCGGGAGUCUGAUGCAGCAACCCCGCGUUCGUGAUGACGGCCUUCUGGUUGUGAACCGCUUUCGCCUAUGACGAAGCUUGAGUGACGGUAAUGGGUGAAGAAGCACCGGCUAACUACGUG
RNAcentral lists this ribosomal RNA (468 nucleotides) under uncultured bacterium. RNAcentral describes it as "partial 16S ribosomal RNA". It matches the Rfam family "Bacterial small subunit ribosomal RNA", at positions 28 to 507 of the family's 1533-position model. The record is from RNAcentral.